UUUCUCUGCAGUGUCAGGCCAGGAAGGAA
RNAcentral lists this non-coding RNA (29 nucleotides) under Homo sapiens (human). Lineage: Eukaryota; Metazoa; Chordata; Mammalia; Primates; Hominidae. The record is from RNAcentral.